RNAcentral lists this non-coding RNA (21 nucleotides) under Cycas revoluta. The record is from RNAcentral. Lineage: Eukaryota; Viridiplantae; Streptophyta; Cycadopsida; Cycadales; Cycadaceae.
UCUUGACCUUGCAAGUCCAGG